Molecule: ribosomal RNA, 253 nt
Filed under: uncultured bacterium
Lineage: Bacteria
Description: partial 16S ribosomal RNA
Rfam family: Bacterial small subunit ribosomal RNA
Source: RNAcentral
UACGUAGGAUGCGAGCGUUAAUCGGAAUUACUGGGCGUAAAGCGUGCGUAGGUGGUUCGUUGUGUCUGUGGUGAAAGCCCCGGGCUUAACCUGGGAAUGGCCAUGGAAACUGGCGAGCUGGAGUCUGGCAGAGGGGGGUGGAAUUCCGCGUGUAGCAGUGAAAUGCGUAGAGAUGCGGAGGAACACCGAUGGCGAAGGCAGCCCCCUGGGCUAAGACUGACGCUGAGGCACGAAAGCGUGGGGAGCAAACAGG